GGGAGAGUGCAGGGUCCUGGGCUGUGUCCCCCAGUGCCCUGGGCUCCGGGGCCUGUGCUGCUGGAAUCGCACUCCUGGGGCAUGCAGCCCCCU
This 93-nucleotide microRNA precursor is filed under the name Canis lupus familiaris (dog). Its description in RNAcentral is "mir-8799 microRNA precursor family". It matches the Rfam family "mir-8799 microRNA precursor family". The record is from Rfam by way of RNAcentral. RNAcentral also lists the same sequence under 1 other name. Lineage: Eukaryota; Metazoa; Chordata; Mammalia; Carnivora; Canidae.